Molecule: long non-coding RNA, 606 nt
Organism: Quercus robur (English oak)
Lineage: Eukaryota; Viridiplantae; Streptophyta; Magnoliopsida; Fagales; Fagaceae
Exons: 2
Source: RefSeq, a predicted model, not a curated record
UUUAUCCGAACGUCACUCCUUUCUCUCUCAAUUUUCUGAAACCCAACUUACCCACAUUCCCAUAGCUACUCUCUCAUCACUCACUUUCUCAAUCUCCCUCUCAAUCUUGAUUUAAAAUGGCUACGAAGACCAGUUGAAACUGCCUUGAAAGAUGCAAAUCUUUCCUUCAAAGAUUUAGAUGAAGUAAUCAUUGUUGGUGGUUCUACUCACAUCCCAACUGUUCAGGAGCUUAUGAGGAAGAUGACCGGAAAAGAGCCCGAUGUGACUGUAAAUCCUGAUGAAGUUGUUGCUCUUGGGGCUGCUGUUCAGGUUUGUCCUUAUCUUGUUGAGAUAAAUUACUCUGGUCUUUGUAGGGUCCCUUGUCCUACCUGUGAACUAAGUGAAUGGUUUAAUUCAGGUUUGGUCAGAAGCAAACCGGUGUACUUGAUGGAAUAUAUAUUAUAUAGAUUUUUUUUUUUUGAAAUUUUGAAUAUUGAUUGAUUUUGUAUUGGGGGUAGGCUGAAUUGUGACUUCUAUUCUAUGGAAGGCAUACCAUGAUGCAGGAUUAACUUGUGGUACUGUUGAUUUGUUGAGUCUUUAUAGUAUAGUAUGUAAUUAAAGAUUGAA